RNAcentral lists this long non-coding RNA (7720 nucleotides) under Ooceraea biroi (clonal raider ant). Its description in RNAcentral is "uncharacterized LOC109610830". The record is from RNAcentral. Lineage: Eukaryota; Metazoa; Arthropoda; Insecta; Hymenoptera; Formicidae.
AUUAUUUCUGUCUGCUAAUUCCGUUACCGUCUCGAGACGCCACUAAUUUCUGUGUGCGUUCCCUUGUUCUCACGUUGCGUGCGUACGUUUCCUAUGCCUACUCGGUACACCGAUUUGUGGCGUGACGCCGAUUUCGUGCAGAACAAAGUGCGGACGCGCUGUCAAAACGAUCUAAAUUGACGCGCGUCUCGGGGUUAGUCGCGCGUAUUCAUUGCGCCUAAUAAUGCCAUCUUCUUCCCGGCACGUUUAGCCAUUUGUGAGCGCUAAGAAAUGCGAGGCUCCCGCACGUUGCAGACGUAAACAUGAGAUUCUUUCCUCAACCGCGUUUUAUUACAUUUCUCUCAUUUCGUUUAGUAUUUUAAACGAUGGUUAUCACACGUUCGCGUUUGGUAAGUUGAGGGAAUUCUCUCCGUGAAACUAGGGUAAGAACGAAUUUUUUUAUGAUAUUAAUAGAAAAGCGUAAUUGAGUUGUUAUGCGUGCCGCGCGAGACUCGGACAGGGUCGAGAAGCUAACUCGGGAUUAAUCGCCUGUAAUAAAUCGGCGGGCGAAGCUAGCUGGAGCCGCGAUGUUCUCGCGUGGUUGUUUAAAUUUCAUUCUUGGUGUUUCGGGACACGUCGGUGUUUUAUUUAACUUCUUGCGCAAAAUUGACGAUCAUAUAAUGUUCAUUGUCUUCGACGGACUCGCUAACAUCAUAGCUCAAAAUUCCUGGCUAAUUUAAAUCCGAUUCGAAAAGUUUUUGAUCUUUGGUAUAUUUCGGAUCACUUUUCAGAAAAAUUGCUGCUUUUUGGAUGGAGAGUGCCAAGCGUGUACUCGAAACACGACCAUGAAAAAGAUAAAACGACAGCGAAAUUUUAUUUCAUAACAAAACACUCGCGCGGCGCGACAUGGCGCGCAAAAUAAUAAUUUAUUAUAUAGCAUUUAUUUCGAAAAAAAGAGAUUGAAACCACGAAAAUUAUCCGACUUGUCUUCUCUCUCUCUUUCUCUCUCUCUCUCUCUCUCUGUGGAUGCGCGUUUCAUCUUGUUGCUGCUUUGCCCGUGAAAUGCAAUUCUGCGAGUUGCAAACACGAAGACCUCGCUCCGCACGACGACCAUACGACCACUUCCAAGAGACAAGUGGCGGGCCUUAAGGAUGCAAUACUCGGCGUGGUGCAAAAAACCGCCGCUUUGCCGGAUGCAGCCUAGAGUGACGACCGAACGCGCGUACGUUCCUUUCUUCCGUACGUGUGUGAGCGUGCGUGUAUUCCUGCCCUUUUACGUUGCGUCGCCUCGUGACGAAAAUCCAGGCGGCCAAUUUCCUGCUUGGAUCUUUAUACGGUCCAAAAGUUGCUCAAGCCCUCGGACGGACGGUAUCAACAGACAGACGUUGCUCAUAUACCGUUGUGCCUUGGAAAGUACAUUAGAAUAUGUCUACUCGUACUUUCUAAACGCGGCUACACGAAAUCCAUAAUGUUCUAAAUCUCUCGAGCUCCCGAUCUCGAGUUCUCGGAAGCUCCAACUCCAUCUCCAUCAAGUCCAUGAAAACUCUUCACAGUUCUGAUCUUUUAACGCUCCUCGUCGCAAAAGUGAUAAUUUUAAAGACGCAUAAAAUAAGAGCACGAAUAUUCUAAAUUCGCAAAGUCCCGAAAGUUACGCGGGCCGGAACUCCGAAGAAAAUAAUGUUUCAGUACGUGAGCGAAAUCGCAACACGACAGCAUGUACGUGCUCGCGCGCUCACGUCGCGUCGGCUCCGUAGUUCUGCGUGCAGGCUGAAACGAUAAAAGGCCGCGGCUGGAUCUCGACGUGCGAGCCUCGCCAUCGGAACGCGCGGCGCCGAUGCCUCGUCGCGGGGCAUUUCCGUGGUCGGCGACGUUCGGAAUAAGCAUCGGAUAUCGUCUUGUACUCCGGGCAUUCCGGAGCGCACGACAUCUCGGUCACCACGGUACUUACGGUCCUGGUAGCGUGGGCCUCGGUAAAGGCGUGGGCGUGCACCGUGCUUCUUGCUUCUCCGGAGUUCUCUGCACCGGGAACGCGACCCAACCGCGCUCACGAGGGAACACGAAAGCACGCUGGAAAUUUUUCAAACCACCGAACUAACAGUUAUCGAAACGCUAAUGUAAUAUUAUCCUUUCAUCAGGUACAUUAGCGCGGUACCAAACGCGGUACCGUUUUACAUUCUGACGUGAUUACUCUCGUCACUUGUGAUUCAUCCAGAAAUUAAUAAACUAAGUAAAAGCUAAUUAUUCGCUAAACGCGAAAACUUGAUCGCUUUGAGCACCUAUUUUAUGGUAAAGGAGUAACUAAUUACAAUACACGGGAUGAACGUGGGCCUUGAGAUCGUUAAGAUUGUACGUGUGAUACCUCUUCGUUUCAGGAAUAUACCCAAUAUUUCUCGUCAAAGUAGCUGGAAAGUCGAGAGGGAACUUAAUAACAGGAAAUGCGACUUGUAUGGUGGACAUCACGCACGGCUUUGCGCUUGCAGUCGCAGAGAGUGCGUUGAUAUCGCUAGAAUUAAUAGAGAGGAUCGCGGUGUGGCGGGACAAUUUGUAUGCGACGAAGUGUUCUCGUAAGAUCGGUGUAAUGUGACCACGCGACUGCCGCGAGAAUCGUGCGCGUAACGCGGCUUCUUCGAGGCAGGUUCUUACGCGUGUACGCUCUUACGUCUUACGUACGCGAGGUUCGUACGCGUGUGCUUAGAUCUUCAUCCGAGACGCCAUUGAACUUGAUUUCCCGCGGCCUCGCUUGCACGUGCAGAAAUUUUAAAGGAGAACCACAUCGCCUGCGGCGGCGCAGGUUCGCUCGCGAGACCGGAACGAUGCAUCCACCGAGUCUCCUUGCCUUCUCCCAUUUAAUCCUAGACUUGGCCGAACCAACCAACCCUACGUGCGCAACGUGACGCUAUCAGUGUACCGAGCGUGCAGGAGAUGCAAAUGCACUUUGCUUGUUACAUCACAUUUAUGUAAUUCGCGUUCCCAUCCGAAAAACACAUCACAAAAAUGCACGAUUCUGGAUCUCUUCCAUGCUAAUCGGUGCGAAACGAUGAUCCAGAAAUUAUGUAUUUUACUAGUUGUCGCCAUUCGAUUCGGUUUUCUUAAAAGUUUUCAUUUUGACGAACACUGGGGACAGAAUGGCAAUCGGUUAUGACUGUUACGACGUGAGUUAUCGCUUCUUCCGAUUUCUUUCUGGACGAUGACGCGAGCUGGAUAACAUAUCGAAACAGGAUCGUGCGGCCCUUUUUCUCUCCGUUUUGCGACAUCCGCCGCGUUUACCACGAUGAUGGGGAAAGGGGGACGAAAGGAUGUUUAUGGGCUUUGUUCCUCUUCGCGUGAACUCGUAUCUCCGCAGCUUUUGAUUGCAUUCGCGCCCACGCGAAGCGAUAGGAUUUUCGCCGUGCGAGUUAUCAUCGCUCGUUGUGCGACUCGUUCCGACUGAUGCCCGGCAGACAUAAACCCGCAAUCAUUUUCGCUGCGAUAUCCGCGCGGGAGAUUAUAUACGAGCCGGUUACGAUUGCAACGGUGCCGCGUUUCCCAAACGCGUUUCUUUUUCCGCAGAAAGCGCUCGGUGCUAAACGGGAAGAACGAAGUGCGAUUAAGGAAGAAAUCGAGAUCAAAAUGAACCGUGCCGACGAAUAUUCCCGGGCAUUUUUCCCAUCAGCUCGGCCAAGUCGUGCGCGUCUUCCUCGUUAAGGAGAUCGACGAGAUCGCGAGAUCGAGGAAGCUGGAGAACACGUAGCCGGAGCCGGGCUCGGAACCGGCCACGAUGCGGAGUGUGAACGAACCUUUAUCUCGAUUCGCGCGCGACGCUCCGCUACGUAUAAGGGAAUCGUAACGAGUAGCGACAUUAGGCAUCCCAGCGACUGAACCCCCUCGCGGUUGGCGGGGAUCCGGUUUUAUCGUCCGUACCGGGUAUACUAUGCGCGCGAGUCCGAUCCACGAACGAGAGAGAUAGCACGCGGGGGACGAUCCGUACGUCGCCGGAUCGGGAAUACGCGGUCGCCUUUUUAUUCGGCUCUUAUCCGCCGCACCGGCGCGGCGCGGCGCGUCGCGGCCCGCAACAGUUGAAUCCGGAAUCGCGCUGCGAGAUCUGACGGAUAAACCGGCCCGACACCCGACCCUUGACCCACCGAUGCUCGCCUGUUGGUCCGCUCAUCUUUUUCCCUUCGUUUCUAAUCUCGUUAUUCAUGAGCACUUAUCUAGCUUCAGGAUAUUUAGUUCUAACGCUUUGACCGCCGCGGAUCUCAUGCAUCGCGGAGGACGGGCGAUUUGUCUCUCUUUGAUCUGAAGCCCCACGAGGAAACGUGUGCGGGAUGCGAUUUAGAUGGCUCUAAACGGUUUCCGUCUUUUUAAAUAAUUGCAACGUGUAAGUUACGAAAUAUCGCAACUGGACAAUCGAUGUGUCGUAACAUAACCGUUGCAGUAAAUACCUGUUGUUUACGUUCGGUCAUUAGUGUAUUUUGAGGAAUGUCACGCGUAGCUUGUGAAGAUUGCGAAACUGCGAGCAGCGACACUUUAACCGCUGAUAAAACGUGCGAAAACUGAGCGGCUUUAAAGGCUCGCUGUGCACGUUCCAGACGUUAUCCGCUCGGUAAAUUUCCUUUAUGGAAAUGCAUUUCUAGAAACUAACGGAAGACAAUAAAACAACUUAAAUCUCCAUUUUAUGAUACUGAUUUCCGAAAAAAGGAUUAUUUUAAAGCAUUGCAAACGUACCAAUGUGAAAUCGUUAUAUAAAAUUUAUGGCCGAUUAAUAUGUUGUGAAGUUUCUUAUAUAUUCAUAAAACGAUUAAAAUCCAUAAAACGAUUCCGCACUCUAGAGUAACGCGGCGCAAUUAAUAUUCCUGAUGUAUUAUUUGCGUAACUACAAAGCAGCGCGCGAUUUACGCUCACGAAUCCCCGAGUUAAUUCCGGGGCAACCCGUAUCGAACGUCAGAACGCGAACAGGUGAGAUAAAACCGGGGAAGCCGUGCAUUGCGACAUACGGGCACACAAUUAUACCUGAGAUAGUUGUGAUUUAAAGUCGCCCGUGGCUGGUGGUUACCUGUCGGCGGUCGCAUCGUAUUGCGGGAAUCGCAAGUACGUUCUCCGACCAGCACACGUAUAAUUGGCCUGUCAGCGAAUGCCCCUAACUGAUUAAUUUAAUCGUGGCUGGUCACGCAGACGCUUUUAACGAGCAUCAAAGGUGCGUCGCGCUUGAUGUUUCCAGGUUGUCGAGAAACGUGACAAUCGUUUUGGACACACGGCGGCGGGACGUGCUACGGUCGGAAAAAUCAUGGGCGAGCUCUUUCGCAUGAAAGAGAAACGCGUUUUACGGUGCAGGGGAUGGCCACGUGUGCGCGCUCAGGUAAAGGUAGCGGAACGGCUGUUCCCUAACGUCGCACGUGUGCCGACGAGAUUAUAUUUCUGGGAAGGUGUCGCCUUGCACAAAGCACCGUGCCAAAAGCCGGCGACCAGACAGCCUGAAAUCAAUUUGCGACUCGCACGCCGUACCGCCGUGUCUCCAUUUCUCGCGCGUUUCGUACCGCUGACCACGACGAAGCUCGACAUGGAUACGUUCUCCGAAUUGUCUAAAAUAAUUUGGCAUUUAUUUCUUUGUGUUAGAUCGACUAUAUCUGGAUAACUCGAUAUUCCAAGUUGCUAUGGAUACAGGUAGUCCAAGUAUCAAUUGGUUGAGCUUGGUCAAAGUAGAGCAGUGAUUCCAGAAUAGACGUCUUAAUUCGUCAAUAAGAUCACCACCCUGUACAGGUAUUUCUUCUCGGGUGGGCGUAGGGUACGUGGGAGGCGAAAUACGUCGCGUGGAUACAGUGGCGUAACAGUAAACAAAGUUGAAAAGAAGGACAUCACGCGAACCGAACCUGUUUGGCCAAGGCAUUACCUAACGAACGUCAUGCAUAUUAUAGGUGCCAAUUAAUUUCCGUUCGCUCUCUGUUUUGCGAAAGUAUCACCAACCGCCUCAGUACUCAGGAGUCGAAUCUGAAGAAACAGUACACAAAACUCUUUUGACAACGUGAUAUAUCAAUUUUCGCAAUUUUGUUCCUUGCAAUUGUAUAUAAUUAUAUAAUAAAUUAAUCGGUUUGGCCUACCGAAUAAUUAGCCACUUUGGAAAAUCGCGCGACGCCCAUGUGUCACGAUCACGAGCGAAAGAAAGGAAAAAAGAGGAGGGAAAAGCUUGUGGAGGCCACGAACGCGCUCACACGGUUACGCUCUUAUUACGUCGCGCGGCAUAGCGUCGUAGGUGUAAUAACAGCGACCGGGCUUGCCAGAGUGUGCACCAAAAUGAUCGUGGUACGUAUCUUGAGGAGAAUGUCGCCCGAGCACUUUUAAAAAUACGAUUUGCGAUCCAUUUGCUGAGAUAGAAGACUUUCUAAAGUGUCGAAAACGUCAAUGGGUUGAAUGUUUAAAUUGACUUGACAGAAUUACGGAUUAUCCAGCAAUAUUAUGGCAAAUGCUGCUAUCGCCAUGGCGUUUUGUAAUCGCCUAAAUUACUGUAUCGCCCGAGUCAGUAAACCUGACAGCGACGCCGACGCUCGUCGCGCGUGGCGUCGCAUCGACCCGUCGUCGUUGCUCCGGACUCGUUCCAGACCGGUUCUGCUCCUCGUAGCCGACUGCACGGAAAAGUGCCGCCGCGAAACCAGACCGCACCGUGUGGCACAUAGAUAAAGUAUUCUAAAGCGUGGAACUUGCAUUAGAAGACUCUAUUCGGGACUUCGCGAUCUCAGGAAAAAUGAACGCGAAUGUCUUUCAAAAGGAAGAAAGGCAGAAAUUCUCUUCUCAGCAACAAAAGUCAGCCAAAAUUAUAUCACAAUCUUCGACGAUUAACGCAGUCUCGUUAAUUAGCACUUUUCUGUUGAAAAUUCAUUUAUUAGAUUUAUCAUUAUUAUUAUAUGUGCAGAAAUAAUUUACAAGUUUUAAUGAAACAUUGUUAUAAUAUGUAGUUAGUCAUUACAACCUUUCGCUCCGUUCAUCGUGGAAUAGAAAUUCAACUCGUCUUUGAUUCUGCUUUAGCACUUCUUCCAAGUCGUCUUUGUUCGAUCAGUCGUCGCUCCUUAUGAUGCCAGGUGCAGAUUAUUGAUUAGCGAUCGGAAUCAUCGCUGCAAAAGUAUUAUGCAAAUCAGGUUUCAUUAAUAAAGUACGAUCAUCGGAUGGUUUCGGAGAUGUGGGCGAUAUCUCGAGGUCUAUCUCAAUGCGACGUGCAUACCGCUCUUCCGCUAUAUAAUAUCGUGCACAGACGCCCCUUUAUUAUUACGGACGCGCGAGUCCUUGCUCAAUAUUCAUAGCGUGUCGCGCAAAAACCGUCUUUGCCGAUGAUAGUCUUGUUACGCGUGUCAUCAUAUAUUACACGAUUCUUGGUACCGUCAGUUUUAACCCUCGGCUGUGAAUAUCUCGUUCUCGCAUUCAGGUCGCUCGUAUUGCGAGCUUUAAUCGAUGGGGCGUAGUUAAAACUUCGUACAUAAUUCAAAGUCUUGGGACAAUAAUACGUUAACAUGCUAAAUCAAUUUUCGAUCUGUACUUAUAUUUAUAUUUAUAGAUUAUGGUGCCAAAGAAGAUAUUACUCAUGUAUAAUUCAAAACGUUAAGGCAGAUAUUAUUUUCUUAAAUUAAUUCAUGAAUAUAAUCUGUGAUUUUGAAUUGCCUUCGUAUUCCGUCUGCCAAAUGCUUGUCAUUUAAAGAAUUAAUAGUUUUUAGCAUCAGCUAAUUAAAAAUACAUUAGUAAAUUAAUACUACAUAAAUACUUUGGCGUAAAUUCAAAA